Herpailurus yagouaroundi (jaguarundi) is the source of this 2848-nucleotide long non-coding RNA. RefSeq lists it as uncharacterized. NCBI's taxonomy places the organism in Eukaryota, Metazoa, Chordata, Mammalia, Carnivora, Felidae. The record is from RefSeq and is a predicted model, not a curated record. The transcript has 8 exons.
CGACGCCGCGUGCCCUCCGACCCCGCCACGCCUCCUCAGGUCCACCCGCCCACUUCUCAGCGGCGGGCUGACGGCCUGGGGACGCCGCUCGGAAGGGAGCCAGGUGUCGCUGUGCUCCUCUGCAUCUGGGUCGUCGCCGCCGCGCUCUUCUGCUUUGUGGGUUCCAGAAAAGCCCCGCCGAAAUCGGCGGACCCCACGCUGUCUCUCCUCCUUCCUUCCGGGUCCUUCUGAAGAUGUAUUUAUCAAGAAAAUUAAAAGUGGAUGUUCCAGCCCCUUCGGAUGAACUGCAACCCUGACAACUUCACUGCAACUGCAUGAGAGACCCUGUGCCCCAGCUCCCCAGAGCCACCCGGCAAAGCAGCUUCCUGAUCCUUGGCCCUCAGAAACGCUGAGUUUAUGCUCAGAAAGACGUUCCCGUACUGAAAUCAGAGGUGGAGGGGAGCCAAAAGAACACUGAUGAAGCUUACAUUGUUCCAACUAUUCCGGCUCUAUCUUAAAUAUGGUGGCGGAACUUCAUUCAACUCCGUGGCCCCCAUGCACCACCACCCUGAAGCUUUCAAUCUGCAGACACUCUGGGAAGGGAAUAUCUGUUGGAUGAAUGGACCUGAGAGCUGAAACACACAGGUGAGUCAGAAUUUUUAAAAACAUAUGUGAAAUACACAUAAAGGACUAGAGAAAUAGAAGUUAUGGCUGUCUGCGCUCUUCAUCCAUGAGAACCCUGAAAACAGAAGUAUUCCCACCAGCCUGACCCUGACAUCACAGCAAGAACCUCCAAAACCAGUCUUUGCCAAAUCAGUAGGAUAGAGAAGCAACCGCAGAGGAAAGGAAAGGACAACAAUGACCCAUACGUUAUUGCGCAAGUGCUUUUGACCAAAGGCCUGUGGAGGCAAGAUUGCGCCAAACCUGUUACAGGAAAUUAGAUAACACGUAUUGUUUGGAAGCUUCAGCUCUAUCCUCCAAUUCCAUUAGCUAUUCCUUGACUCUCAAUCCUUUGGGGGUCAGGGCCACGUCAACUCCAGCGCUGGGGUUUCCAAGAAGAACUCAACUGACAGCUACGACUGCCCACCCAGCACCCGAUCACUUGGACCCUAGGGCUGCAGGUCUAGGCAGGGCCCCCGAAGGCCCAGCUAUGUGGCUGGUGUUCACUUGGUGGCUCAUUUUUGCUCUGAUAUUUUGGGAUCCCAAUUAAUGUUCAUACCUUUUGAGACUUUAUUAUUUACUCCCAAAGAACAGUUUGUUUGUUUUUUAAGUUUUGGUUAGAUGCAGACUCCUCAAGGGCAGAAAUUUCUGAAUUAUCUUUGUAAUCCCAGGACUUGACACGUGGAAGCCAGCACAGAGGACAACAAAGAAAGAAAGGUAGCCAGUCUUCCCGAGAGACCUGGAGGGAACAUUUUGAUAGGUCUCCUUUCUUCUAUAAAUGUUUUUCCCAGGGGUGAGAAUAUAAAGUAUGUACAAUUUGCAAUCCUACUUUUUGCUUUCAAUUAAUGUGAUACAGGCAUUUUCCUGUGUGCUAUCAUCUGAAUAAUUACAUGUUGAAAACUUGAUGCCCUAGGUGGUAGUAUUAGGAGGUGGGGCCUUUGGUCAGUAGGCCAUGAGGGUGGAGCCUUCAUAAAUGGGAUUAGUGUUCUUAUAAAAGAAUCCCCAGACAGCUUGCUUCCCUCUUUUACAAUGUGAAGGUAUCACAAGUGUGCGACUUGAAGAGGACCCUUACCCGACCAUGCUGGCAUCCUGAUCUUGGACUUCCAGCCUCCAGAACUCAGUCACCCAUGCAACCAACACUGUAUUUCAUCGGUGAAUUGGGAUGGUUCAUCAGCUGCUCACUAGGCCCCAGGGAAGUCACAGAGUGACAUUUGCCUUCAGAUAAACUCCUUAGGUUGGGUUAUUGCUGUGACUGAAAUAGCAGAGCCAUCCCAACAGCGGGAGAUUGACCUGUCCGCUGAAGUGAAAACCACAGUGUCAAGAAUAAAGUGUUGACAAAACAAAAAACAUACACUGAAAGACAAGGACUUGUACACUACAAAUGGGUGGAUUCUGUAACAGACACUUGACAGCAUGCUGGAUGGACGAUACAAGCCCAACAGGCUGCAUUUGCUGAUGGACCGAUUGUAAAUUGCCUGAGCGGACUUCACUUUCAGACCCUCCUCAGUAUAGACUGGGCGACUUGUUGCUUUAUUGUUCUGAGCUUGCCCUGAGUAGCCACCCAGUGGGGUUCUCCAUCUGUGGCUUGAUAGGAAGCAACAUUCUUUAGCAGCCUUGAAGCAACUGGCAGGGCAAUGGCUACAGCCUGCCUUUGUAAGCAGGAGGCAGGGGCAUUAACUGUAUUGUUUCUGGACGUUGGCAUAAAUGUGGCCCUGCCCCGUGGUCCUUCACAACAAAACUUGAGGUUGAAUCCCUUUUGUUGGGGUAGAUAAGGGAGUGUAUUGAGCUCUAUGGAAAACAGACAGGAGGACUCUGACAGAUGGGGAAAGGGUCACCCCCACAGCAGGGAGUCAGCCUGGACGUGGGUACUAUAGCAACCUGCUGAGAAUUAUCCUGCCUAUUAAAGGAUGGUUGGAUUCACUGGGUCUGCCCAGGCAGGGAACCUGGCUGGGUCUUUGUCAGCAGACAGACGAGAAGCUGGUGUGCAGCUGUGUGAUUUGACAGUUUGGUUGUAUUCAGACAGCUCUAUGUUGUGGAGAUGACAUUACUCCUGAGCCUGACCGCAUGCAUCUAUGUAAACCAGUGGCAUACCCGAGGAGGGAGUCAGUGGGAGCAAUCCACUCCCGGUGCAGACAGUAAGCAGAAAAUUUCUGUGUGUGUGCUUGUCUGUAGAAAAUUUUCAAACAAUAAUAAAACUAAGUAAAAGUCA